RNAcentral lists this transfer RNA (75 nucleotides) under Coriobacteriia bacterium. RNAcentral's name for it is "tRNA-Asn". It matches the Rfam family "tRNA". From Rfam's summary of the family: Transfer RNA (tRNA) molecules are approximately 80 nucleotides in length. Lineage: Bacteria; Bacillati; Actinomycetota; Coriobacteriia. The record is from RNAcentral.
UCCCCGGUAGCUCAACGGUAGAGCGUUCGGCUGUUAACCGAAAUGUUGUAGGUUCGAGCCCUACCCGGGGAGCCA